This 465-nucleotide ribosomal RNA is filed under the name Vreelandella stevensii. Its description in RNAcentral is "partial 16S ribosomal RNA". It matches the Rfam family "Bacterial small subunit ribosomal RNA", at positions 338 to 795 of the family's 1533-position model. The record is from RNAcentral. Lineage: Bacteria; Pseudomonadati; Pseudomonadota; Gammaproteobacteria; Oceanospirillales; Halomonadaceae.
CCUACGGGAGGCAGCAGUGGGGAAUAUUGGACAAUGGGCGAAAGCCUGAUCCAGCCAUGCCGCGUGUGUGAAGAAGGCCUUCGGGUUGUAAAGCACUUUCAGUGGGGAAGAAAGCCUUGGGGCUAAUACCCUCGAGGAAGGACAUCACCCACAGAAGAAGCACCGGCUAACUCCGUGCCAGCAGCCGCGGUAAUACGGAGGGUGCGAGCGUUAAUCGGAAUUACUGGGCGUAAAGCGCGCGUAGGCGGUCUGAUAAGCCGGUUGUGAAAGCCCCGGGCUCAACCUGGGAACGGCAUCCGGAACUGUCAGGCUAGAGUGUAGGAGAGGAAGGUAGAAUUCCCGGUGUAGCGGUGAAAUGCGUAGAGAUCGGGAGGAAUACCAGUGGCGAAGGCGGCCUUCUGGACUGACACUGACGCUGAGGUGCGAAAGCGUGGGUAGCAAACAGGAUUAGAUACCCUAGUAGUC